GAGCUGUGAAGAAAUUGGCUUUAGCGAUGGUUGGGUCCUUCGCACACAUCUGAUUCCAGAUGAUAUAUGCCUCACGUCUGAGCUC
Molecule: small nucleolar RNA, 85 nt
Filed under: Eutrema salsugineum
Lineage: Eukaryota; Viridiplantae; Streptophyta; Magnoliopsida; Brassicales; Brassicaceae
Description: small nucleolar RNA snoR114
Rfam family: small nucleolar RNA snoR114
Source: Rfam by way of RNAcentral